CCUACGGGGGGCAGCAGUCGAGAAUCAUUCACAAUGGGGGAAACCCUGAUGGUGCGACGCCGCGUGGGGGAAUGAAGGUCUUCGGAUUGUAAACCCCUGUCAUGUGGGAGCAAAUUAAAAAGAUAGUACCACAAGAGGAAGAGACGGCUAACUCUGUGCCAGCAGCCGCGGUAAUACAGAGGUCUCAAGCGUUGUUCGGAAUCACUGGGCGUAAAGCGUGCGUAGGCUGUUUCGUAAGUCGUGUGUGAAAGGCGAGGGCUCAACCCGCGGACGGCACAUGAUACUGCGAGACUAGAGUAAUGGAGGGGGAACCGGAAAUCUCGGUGUAGCAGUGAUAUGCGUAGAUAUCGAGAGGAACACUCGUGGCGAAGGCGGGUUCCUGGACAUUAACUGACGCUGAGGCACGAAGGCCAGGGGAGCGAAAGGGAUUAGAUACCCGGGUAGUC
Molecule: ribosomal RNA, 446 nt
Filed under: uncultured bacterium
Lineage: Bacteria
Description: partial 16S ribosomal RNA
Rfam family: Bacterial small subunit ribosomal RNA
Source: RNAcentral